GGCAGUAGGGAAUCUUCGGCAAUGGGGGGCAACCCUGACCGAGCAACGCCGCGUGAGUGAAGAAGGUUUUCGGAUCGUAAAGCUCUGUUGUAGAGAAGAACGUGUGUGAGAGUGGAAAGUUCACACAGUGACGGUAACUUACCAGAAAGGGACGGCUAACUACGUGCCAG
RNAcentral lists this ribosomal RNA (170 nucleotides) under uncultured bacterium. RNAcentral describes it as "partial 16S rRNA". It matches the Rfam family "Bacterial small subunit ribosomal RNA", at positions 350 to 511 of the family's 1533-position model. The record is from RNAcentral.